GUCCACGCCCUAAACGAUGUCGACUGGUUGUUGGGGUUGGUACACUCUCAGUAACGAAGCUAACGACGUGAAGUCGACCGCCUGGGGAGGUACGGCCGCAAGGUUAAAACUACAAAGGAAUUGACGGGGACCCGGCACAAGCGGUGGAUUAUGUGGAUUAAUUCGAUGCAACGCGAAAAACCUUAACCUACCCUUGACAUGUCCUGAAAUCCCGCUGAGAGGUGGGAGUGCCCGAAAAGGGAACGGGAACACAGGUGCUGCAUGGCUGUCGU
Molecule: ribosomal RNA, 272 nt
Filed under: uncultured bacterium
Lineage: Bacteria
Description: partial 16S ribosomal RNA
Rfam family: Bacterial small subunit ribosomal RNA
Source: RNAcentral